RNAcentral lists this transfer RNA (73 nucleotides) under Mustela putorius furo (domestic ferret). It matches the Rfam family "tRNA". From Rfam's summary of the family: Transfer RNA (tRNA) molecules are approximately 80 nucleotides in length. Their secondary structure includes four short double-helical elements and three loops (D, anti-codon, and T loops). The record is from Rfam by way of RNAcentral. Lineage: Eukaryota; Metazoa; Chordata; Mammalia; Carnivora; Mustelidae.
ACCUAGCUGGCUUAGUCAGUAGAGCAUAGGACUCUUGAUCAUGGAGUUGUGAGUUCGAGCCUCAUGUUGGGUG